This is a long non-coding RNA of Onychostoma macrolepis, 969 nucleotides long. RefSeq lists it as uncharacterized. NCBI's taxonomy places the organism in Eukaryota, Metazoa, Chordata, Actinopteri, Cypriniformes, Cyprinidae. The transcript has 3 exons. The record is from RefSeq and is a predicted model, not a curated record.
UUGACUGUUUGCAAAGAGCUUGAUUGACAGGUGAUCUGACCAAUCAGAAUGCGGAUAUUAUGUGCCGCCGCUGCUAUCCGCCAUCUUGCCCGACAGCUAUGGCCUGUCUCCAUAGAAAUACAUGUUAAAACGGGGUAAAAAAAGAUCGACUGAAUUGAAACAUUUUUGAAAAUAUAACUAAAUGUAAAUAUGUGCGGAGGGUUAAGCUGUGCUGUUGUCGGCUGCCACGGUAACGGUAAUAAGCUAAGCAUAGAUGACUUAAUGCCUGAAGACCUGGCAACAAAACACUAUGAGGAAGUGAAUCCCCAGAGCUAUAUAACAUGAAAAAACUAAUUCUAGAAGAGAAAAAGAAGGUAUGUUUUUCGACACAAAAGGUCUUACUAAGCACUCACAAGCUUACAGAUAUAAUUAGAGGAGAAAUUAUUGUUUUAAAAACAAACAAGGUAAGGCAGUAGAAACAUAUUUAGGUGCCAUAAUUUUAUAUUAUGGCACAUCUAACAAUAAAGCAGUCAGAUCACUGUACUCAUUUAAUAGCAUUGUUAAGAAAACAAGAAAUGAAUGUCUGAAAAGCAGAAUAUGUCAGAUCAAAGGAUACAGGAUGACAUGAUGGUGCAGGCAGGGAAGAACUUUCCCUACAACUCAUCCCGACAUCAGGCUAUCUGAGAUAAGAAUGGUAAUGAUUGGGGGUCGGCAGUUAAUGGAAGUAGGAGCAAGUGGAAAAAGUUCAGCAGGAAACAUCAUUUUGGGGAGAAAUGCUUUUGAUAUUAGCAGAAGAACUGCACGAUCUGUUCAAGCUAAAGGAGACGUGCAUGGAAGACAUCUGACUGUGGUUGACACACCAGGCUGGUGGUGGCAUUACUCAGUGGAAUUCACUCCAAUGUUUGACAGAUGGGAAAUCAUAAGAACCCCAACACUAUGUCCUCCUGGACCUCACGCCUUCCUUCUGGUCAUACCAGCAGAUUUAGCAUU